Molecule: ribosomal RNA, 253 nt
Filed under: uncultured bacterium
Lineage: Bacteria
Description: partial 16S ribosomal RNA
Rfam family: Bacterial small subunit ribosomal RNA
Source: RNAcentral
UACGUAGGGGGCAAGCGUUAUCCGGAUUUACCGGGUGUAAAGGGAGCGUAGACGGCUUUGCAAGCCAGAUGUGAAAGCCCGGGGCUCAACCUCGGGACUGCAUUUGGAACUGUAUGGCUGGAGUGUCGGAGAGGCAGGCGGAAUUCCUAGUGUAGCGGUGAAAUGCGUAGAUAUUAGGAGGAACACCAGUGGCGAAGGCGGCCUGCUGGACGAUGACUGACGUUGAGGCUCGAAAGCGUGGGGAGCAAACAGG